GAGAGAGAAACCUAAAGGUUAGGUGUUAGUCUGUCGCACUAAAUAUUGCGGGUUCGAGUCUCGUCUCUCUCG
RNAcentral lists this transfer RNA (72 nucleotides) under Corallina officinalis. Its description in RNAcentral is "tRNA-Asp". It matches the Rfam family "tRNA". From Rfam's summary of the family: Transfer RNA (tRNA) molecules are approximately 80 nucleotides in length. Their secondary structure includes four short double-helical elements and three loops (D, anti-codon, and T loops). Further hydrogen bonds mediate the characteristic L-shaped molecular structure. tRNAs have two regions of fundamental functional importance: the anti-codon, which is responsible for specific mRNA codon recognition, and the 3' end, to which the tRNAs corresponding amino acid is attached (by aminoacyl-tRNA synthetases). tRNAs cope with the degeneracy of the genetic code in two manners: having more than one tRNA (with a specific anti-codon) for a particular amino acid; and 'wobble' base-pairing, i.e. permitting non-standard base-pairing at the 3rd anti-codon position. The record is from RNAcentral. Lineage: Eukaryota; Rhodophyta; Florideophyceae; Corallinales; Corallinaceae.